GAUGAACGCUGGCGGCGUGCCUAAUACAUGCCAGUCGAGCGAACAGACGAUGAGCUUGCUCCUCUCACGUUAGCGGCGGACGGGUGAGUAACACGUGGAUAACCUACCUAUAAUACUGGGAUAACUUCGGGAAACCGGAGCUAAUACCGUAUAAUCUAUUGAACCGCAUGGUUCAAUAGUGAAAGACGGCUUUGCUGUCACUUAUCGAUGGAUCCGCGCCGCAUUAGCUAGUUGUUAAGUUAACGGCUUACCAAGGCAACGAUGCGUAGCCGACCGGAGAGGGGGGUCGGCCACACUGGAACUUAGACCCGGACCAGACGCCUACGGGAGGCAGCAGUAGGGAAUCGUCCGCAAUGGGCGAAAGCCUGACGGAGCAGCGCCGAGUGAGUGAUGAAGGUCUUCGGAGCGUAAAACUCUGUUAUUAGGGAAGAACAAAUGUGUAAGUAACUAUGCACGUCUUGACGGUACCUAAUCAGAAAGCCACGGCUAACUACGUG
RNAcentral lists this ribosomal RNA (497 nucleotides) under uncultured bacterium. Its description in RNAcentral is "partial 16S ribosomal RNA". It matches the Rfam family "Bacterial small subunit ribosomal RNA", at positions 28 to 507 of the family's 1533-position model. The record is from RNAcentral.